GCCCCGGUAGCUCAGCCUGGUGGAGCGCCUCACUGGUAUUGAGGAGGUCCCGGGUUCAAAUCCCGGCCGGGGCU
This 74-nucleotide transfer RNA is filed under the name Thermoproteus sp. Its description in RNAcentral is "tRNA-Thr". It matches the Rfam family "tRNA". Rfam says of the family: Transfer RNA (tRNA) molecules are approximately 80 nucleotides in length. The record is from RNAcentral. Lineage: Archaea; Thermoproteati; Thermoproteota; Thermoprotei; Thermoproteales; Thermoproteaceae.